AACGAACGCUGGCGGCGCGCCUAAUACAUGCAAGUCGAGCGAGAAGACGUAGCAAUACGUUUGUAAAGCGGCGAACGGGUGAGGAAUGCAUGGGUAACCUACCCUCGAGUGGGGAAUAACUAGCCGAAAGGUUAGCUAAUACCGCGUACGCUCCUUGGACUUCGGUUCAGGGAGGAAAGCGAUACCGUGGGUAUCGCGCUCUUGGAUGGGCUCAUGUCCUAUCAGCUUGUUGGUGAGGUAACGGCUCACCAAGGCUUCGACGGGUAGCUGGUCUGAGAGGACGAUCAGCCACACUGGCACUGCGACACGGGCCAGACUCCUACGGGAGGCAGCAGUAAGGAAUAUUGCGCAAUGGGCGAAAGCCUGACGCAGCGACGCCGCGUGGGGGA
Molecule: ribosomal RNA, 389 nt
Filed under: uncultured bacterium
Lineage: Bacteria
Description: bacterial SSU rRNA
Rfam family: Bacterial small subunit ribosomal RNA
Source: RNAcentral